This 254-nucleotide ribosomal RNA is filed under the name uncultured bacterium. RNAcentral describes it as "partial 16S ribosomal RNA". It matches the Rfam family "Bacterial small subunit ribosomal RNA", at positions 524 to 776 of the family's 1533-position model. The record is from RNAcentral.
UACGUAGGGACCAAGCGUUGUUCGGAUUUACUGGGCGUAAAGGGCGCGUAGGCGGCCUGUUAAGUCGAACGUGAAAUCCCCGGGCUCAACCCGGGAACUGCGUCCGAUACUGGCAGGCUUGAAUCCGGGAGAGGGAUGUGGAAUUCCAGGUGUAGCGGUGAAAUGCGUAGAUAUGUGGAGGAACACCGAUGGCGAAGGCAGCCUCCUGGGCCGACACUGACGCUGAGGGCACGAAAGCGUGGGGAGCAAACAGG